This 491-nucleotide ribosomal RNA is filed under the name uncultured bacterium. Its description in RNAcentral is "partial 16S ribosomal RNA". It matches the Rfam family "Bacterial small subunit ribosomal RNA", at positions 29 to 507 of the family's 1533-position model. The record is from RNAcentral.
GUGAACGCUGGCGGUAGGCCUAACACCUGCAAGUCGAACGGCAGCACAGUAAGCGCUUGCUCUUACGGGUGGCGAGUGGCGGACGGGUGAGGAAUACAUCGGAAUCUACUUUUUCGUGGGGGAUAACGUAGGGAAACUUACGCUAAUACCGCAUACGACCUACGGGUGAAAGCAGGGGAUCUUCGGACCUUGCGCGAUUGAAUGAGCCGAUGUCGGAUUAGCUAGUUGGCGGGGUAAAGGCCCACCAAGGCGACGAUCCGUAGCUGGUCUGAGAGGAUGAUCAGCCACACUGGAACUGAGACACGGUCCGGACUCCUACGGGAGGCAGCAGUGGGGAAUAUUGGACAAUGGGCGCAAGCCUGAUCCAGCCAUACCGCGUGGGUGAAGAAGGCCUUCGGGUUGUAAAGCCCUUUUGUUGGGAAAGAAAAGCAGCAGGUUAAUACCCCGCUGUUCUGACGGUACCCAAAGAAUAAGCACCGGCUAACUUCGUG